RNAcentral lists this ribosomal RNA (502 nucleotides) under uncultured bacterium. RNAcentral's name for it is "partial 16S ribosomal RNA". It matches the Rfam family "Bacterial small subunit ribosomal RNA", at positions 28 to 523 of the family's 1533-position model. The record is from RNAcentral.
GAUGAACGCUAGCGGCAGGCCUAACACAUGCAAGUCGAGGGGCAGCACAGAAACAGCAAUGUUUUGGUGGCGACCGGCGGACGGGUGCGUAACGCGUAUGCAACCUACCUUUAACAGGGGGAUAACAGAGAGAAAUUUCCACUAAUACCCCAUAACAUCGAUCAAGGCAUCUUGAUUGGUUGAAAACUCCGGUGGUUAAAGAUGGGCGUGCGUUGUAUUAGGUAGUUGGUGAGGUAAUGGCUCACCAAGCCUACGAUACAUAGGGGGACUGAGAGGUUAGCCCCCCACACUGGUACUGAGACACGGACCAGACUCCUACGGGAGGCAGCAGUGAGGAAUAUUGGUCAAUGGGGGCAACCUUGAACCAGCCAUGCCGCGUGCAGGAAGACGGCUCUAUGAGUUGUAAACUGCUUUUAAACAGGGAUAAAGCACAGUAUGUAUACUGUGUUGAAGGUACUGUAAGAAUAAGGAUCGGCUAACUCCGUGCCAGCCGCCGCCGUAA